AGCAACCGUCCUUUGACAUGACACCAUUGUGACAGUCCCGGAACUUAAGGCUGAAGCACCCCCUGGAGAACAGAGACAUGGAAGGACUGCACUGGAAAAGGGAGAGGACAUCUUCUUGGCAAUGCACCGACAAGCUACCCAUUUCAAGAAGCAGUGGGGAAAUUUUUUUCCAAAGUCCAGUUCAGCUCUAACACAACCCAGGUUGACUCGUUCCCUUUGUCUCUCCUCCUGAACUGCUGACAGCCUGCAGGGGUCACUCCAUCUCAGGCUCAAGAAGGCCUCAGGGAGGCCACGUUAGCUGAGGUGAAUCUGGCCUCAAGAAUAAGCACAGAUCUUACAUAGUGGGCCAAGGAGACACCAGCCUUUGGCAUGGCCAUGACGUGCCACCGACUGAUGGACCACUCCUGCUGCCAGAGGAGCUUGUCAGCCUCAUGGACAGUCUCCUCAGACCUGCUGGUAUCCUCAAGCACACCCUCGGUGCCUCAGAUGCAG
This is a non-coding RNA of Manis javanica (Malayan pangolin), 492 nucleotides long. The record is from RefSeq and is a predicted model, not a curated record. NCBI's taxonomy places the organism in Eukaryota, Metazoa, Chordata, Mammalia, Pholidota, Manidae.